RNAcentral lists this ribosomal RNA (487 nucleotides) under uncultured bacterium. RNAcentral describes it as "partial 16S ribosomal RNA". It matches the Rfam family "Bacterial small subunit ribosomal RNA", at positions 28 to 523 of the family's 1533-position model. The record is from RNAcentral.
GACGAACGCUGGCGGCGUGCUUAACACAUGCAAGUCGAGCGAGGCCCACCUUUCGGGGUGGUGUCCUAGCGGCGAACGGGUGAGUAACACGUGGGCAACCUGCCCCCGGCUCGGGGAUAACCCCAAGAAAUUGGGGCUAAUACCGGAUACGACCGCUGACCGCAUGGUCUGGUGGUGGAAAGAUUUAUCGGCUGGGGAUGGGCCCGCGGCCUAUCAGCUUGUUGGUGGGGUAGUGGCCUACCAAGGCGACGACGGGUAGCCGGCCUGAGAGGGUGACCGGCCACACUGGGGCGGAGACAAGGGCCAGACUCCGACGGGGAGCAGCAGUGGGGAAUAUUGCGCAAUGGGCGAAAGCCUGACGCAGCGGCGCGGCGUGGGGGAUGACGGCCUUCGGGUUGUAAACCUCUUUCAGCAGGGACGAAGCCCGCAAGGGUGACGGUACCUGCAGAAGAAGCACCGGCCAACUACGUGCCAGCCGCCGCAGUAA